UACAGAGGGUGCGAGCGUUGUCCGGAAUCACUGGGCGUAAAGCGCGCGCAGGCGGUCAUCUACGUCUGGGGUGAAAGCCCGGAGCUCAACUCCGGGAUUGCCUUGGAUACGGGAUGACUUGAGGAUCGGAGAGGCAAGGGGAAUUCCACGUGUAGCGGUGAAAUGCGUAGAGAUGUGGAGGAACACCUGUGGCGAAGGCGCCUUGCUGGCCGAUUUCUGACGCUGAGGCGCGAAAGCGUGGGGAGCAAACAGG
This 253-nucleotide ribosomal RNA is filed under the name uncultured prokaryote. Its description in RNAcentral is "partial 16S ribosomal RNA". It matches the Rfam family "Bacterial small subunit ribosomal RNA", at positions 524 to 776 of the family's 1533-position model. The record is from RNAcentral.